Non-coding RNA from Castor canadensis (American beaver), 4897 nucleotides. NCBI's taxonomy places the organism in Eukaryota, Metazoa, Chordata, Mammalia, Rodentia, Castoridae. The record is from RefSeq and is a predicted model, not a curated record.
GGAAGUUCAGCGUCUAGAUGGCAGUCCUUGGGUCGCUGACUUCACAUGUGCGCAUCCGUCCUCAUGACACUCCUGCGUGAGGGAAGGUGCUGGCUUCCAGCACAGGAUGCAUCCAGAGCUGGCGAGUGUCACCUGCUCCCCAGGCCACCUGCACCAAGCCAUGCAAGGGCUGCUACUCCUUCCAGGAUUCUGCUUUCUGCUAAACUUGCCGGAAGCUGUGUUUCAGUAUGUCUCCGUUAAUACUUGUUCCUGCCCCCUGCAUGCCUCCUGCAUCUACGGAACCGCGUGCACCUGCAACCCUGGGUUUAAGUCCAGCUCUGGACAGGACAUAUUCACUUUUCCCCUGGAGACAUGUGCAGAUAUCAACGAAUGUCAACCACCUAUCAGUGUGUAUUGUGGAUUAAAUGGCGAGUGUGAGAACACGGAAGGAAGCUUCCACUGUCGCUGUGUGUCUGGAUACCAACUGGCUUCUGGCGGUGUGACAUUCAAGAAUUCCACUGAGAACACGUGUCAGAUGACCCACUUCGCGUCUUUUGCAGAGAGCAACUCCUCUACGACAACCAGAGGCAAGGAAGAGCUGCAAGAAGUCGUCAACAACAUCGAGUCACUUCUCACUAACAAGACGUUACGGGAAACAGGAAACAAGGGAGAAAUUGCACUUGCAGCUUCAGCUCUCCUCCAGAGCACGGAAACAAUGGCUCUAGAAGCUGCCUUGAAAGCCCCAGAGCUAAGACUGCAGAAAGUCCAAAACAGCACUGUGGCUAUCACCACGCAUGUGCUCAGGAACAAGUGCUCGGAGGACAGGAAGUUGGUGACCCUCACCACGCAAAGCAACUCCGUGCAGCUGCACUGCGAUGAUGUCACGCGGGACAACCCCCAUGGCCCCAGUGCGAUUGCCUUUAUCUCCUAUUCUUCUCUUGGAAACAUCCUAAACGAAACUUUUUUUGAGAUGACGGAGAGAGUGCCAUCAUACGUGGUCUUCCAAGAAGAGAUGGACCACAAGGAACCAGUUUACCUGAACUCCCAGAUAGUGAGUGCAGCCAUUGGACCCAACAGGAGCUCAUUUCCCCUCCAGUUCGUGACUCUGACUUUAAGUCACAUCAAGAUGAAGCCCAGAAACAAGGAGACCUUGUGUGUCUACUGGAAGGUCACAGGGUGGGGCAGCCACUGGUCCACAGAUGGUUGCUUCUUGGUGAGUGUAAACGACAGUCACACCGUAUGCAACACCACACAUCUGUCCAGCUUUGCUGUCCUCAUGGCCUUGACCAACCAGGAGGAAGACCUGGCGCUGACUGUCAUCACCUAUGUAGGGCUCAGCCUGUCUCUGCUGUGCCUCCUCCUGGCGGCCCUCACCUUCCUGCUGUGCAAGGCCAUCCAGAACACCAGCACCUCGCUGCACCUGCACCUCUCCAUCUGCCUCUUCCUGGCCCACCUCCUCUUCCUCACGGCGAUCGACCGAACGGAGCCCAAGGUGCUGUGCGCCAUCACGGCGGGCGCCCUGCACUACCUCUACCUGGCGUCCUUCACCUGGAUGCUUCUGGAGGGCCUGCACCUGUUCCUCACUGCGCGCAACCUGACGGUGGUCAACUACUCCAGCAUAAAUAAAUUCAUGAAGUGGAUGAUGUACCCAGCUGGCUACGGUGUCCCUGCUGUCAUCGUGGCCAUUUCAGCAGCAUCCAGGCCUCACCUGUAUGGGACACCUGACCGCUGCUGGCUCCAGCUGGACAAGGGGUUCAUCUGGGGAUUUCUUGGCCCAGUCUGUGCCAUUGUCUGUGUGAAUUUAGUACUUUUUGUCUCUGUCCUUUGGAUUUUGAAAAGGAAACUUUCCUCUCUCAACAGUGACGUGUCAACCAUCCAGAACACAAGGAUGCUGACAUUCAAAGCCACAGCGCAGGUCUUCAUCCUGGGCUGCACGUGGUGUCUGGGCGUCCUCCAGGUGGGUCCAGCUGCCCAAAUCAUGGCGUACCUCUUCACCAUCAUCAACACCCUGCAGGGCGUCUUCAUCUUCCUGGUGUACUGCCUCCUCAGCCAGCAGGUUCAGAAACAAUAUCAAAAGUGGUUUACAGAUAUCACGAAAUCCAAAUCUGAGUCUGAAGCAUAUACACUUUCCAGCAAGUUUGGCCCUGACACAAAACACAGUGAGAGCAAAUGAAGAAACAUUCAGAACAGUCUUGCGGAAAGUCACGCCUGCCGUGGGUCUUGCUGGCACUGUGAAGGCUGAAGCUGAGGAGGGAACAUGUCAUGCAAGAGGACACAACCAACGUUGGCUUCCUCAAGUGCUGGCUAGGCACAAUAAGCUUGCAGUAAAUGUGUGUUGCAUUGGAGUUCUCCUUGCUGUGACAUCAGUCCUGUUCCCAGGGACCCAAAUCAUGACUGACGUUUUUUGCAAAAGAGGGUGCCCCUCUCCAGCCCUUCCCUCAAACUCUCACCCUCACUCAUUGUAAGCUCGCUCUUUCAGUGCUUCCAGUCCCUCCAGCCUCCAGCUUCACCUCCUUUCUUGGGCAGGAAAAGCCCAUUCUGGCAACCCUUGCUUUCUUAUUUGGAUGAUGGCUGACCUUGGUGUCAACCCACCUGCUUAGAGACAAGCGCGGGAAAACUGUUCUCCAGGGACUUCCCAGGCUGGGGUGGUGUCACUUGGUCCCCACAGUGUCCUGAGGCUCCCACAUCCUUGGACCGAGUAGUUUGGUGUGUCUCGCAGCCACAGGACGGCCGUUGUGGGGCUGCCCCGCUCGGGAGGUGAGGACCACUGGGGCACGUCCCCUCCCGUCGCCAUGGCCACUCUGUUGGCUGUCCCCUCUCCAUAGCUCUGACAUGCGUACGUGGAAAACCCGAACCUUUCCCUUAACGUGAGGGAAAACCUGGUCUCCUACUUCACAGGUGGCCGACGCCAGCUGGUGGCACUCCCUCAGCUUCCUGCCAUCUUACAGAUACACACUCAUCCUACCUCAUCCACACCCAUCCUACCUCGUUCCCGCCUCGGCGCCCGUGUCUCCCCCUCCAUUCUGCCAUAAAAGCGCACGGGUUUAAGACUAACCCUUGCUGUGGCUCACGCCUGUAAUCCCAGCCACUCAGAAGGCAGAGAUCAGGAGGAUCAAGAUUUAACGCCAGCCCACGUGAAUAGUUCCUGGGAUCCCCAUCUCCAAAAUACCCAGAGCAAAAUGGACUGGAGGUGUGGCUCAAGCUGUAGAGCACCUGCUUUGGAAGUGUGAAGCCCUGAGUUCAAACCCCAGUCCCAUAAAAAAAAAGAAGGGAGAGACAGAUUGAAGAAUUUUCACACACGUAAAUUACAUGGUAUUAGUAUUUUUCUUCCCAGUCUCUGUGAUCAUUUCUGUGGUUUGGUCUGAAAACCACGUUCUUCCUCUUUUGUUUCCCCCACAUCCUAUCCACAAAUCCUAUUGCUACCAGAAUCCACAGUUCCCACUGCUCCCACCUUCUGGGAAAAGCAGGAGACAGAAACCAGCGGGAGGAAAAAGAUUUUAGUUAAGGUCAGCCCUGAGGAGAAUAGAGAGUUCCUGUGUCAAAUCUCCAUCUUUGGGAGGACUGGGGUAGAGUGACACAGCAGGAAGAAAACCCCCACGCUGGCUCGAGCCUUUCUCUUCUCUCCAGCGCGUGGACUCUCCUUUUCCGCUUUUUUUGUUUUGUUUUGUUUUUGGUGGAACUGGGGUUUGAACUCAGGGUUUCGCACUUGCAAAGCAGGUGCUCUGUUGCUUGAGUGACACCUUCAGUUCAUUUUGCUCUGGUUAUUUUUGGAGAUGGGAAUCUGAAGAAUUAUUUCUGGUCUCAAACUUCGAUCCUCCUGAUCUUAGCCUUCCAAGUAGCUGGGGUUACGGGCAAGAGCCACCAUGCCUGGCCUUCUCCUUUUCUUUGAAACUUAACCAGGACCUGAGACCCAGACUCCUGGGGCCAGCACCGGCAUUUUCUUUCCAGAAAAACACAUGACCUCAAGUGUAUUUGUGUGAGUGAGGAGAGGAGGCAUUGCAGAUGUGUCUUGUCAGGAUUUAGGUACCAUGUGAAAGGCAUGGGUCAUUAAAAGAUUAGGGAAAGAGCAGCCGGGUGUGGUGGUUCAUGUCUGUAAUCCCAGCGCUGGAGAGGCUGAGGCAGGAGGAUCAUGAGUUUGAGACCAGCCUGGACUACACAGUGCUAGACCCUAUCUCAGAAACCAAUAAAUAAAUAAAUAAGGACUAGGGAAGGAAAGCACAGGGAACCACUUCUACUUUUCUGUUACACUACAGGUAGCUGACCCCUUGUUCACUAGCCCUGGUCUCAAAGGCCCCUGUGUUACCAUAAUCACCCCCAGAAAAGUCCCAAGAAUCACAGACCAGCACUGGGGCUCCGAUCUCCUCUCUCAACCCAGGAUAUCUGUUUCCCAGCACACCGCACCUGCUCCUUUCCCAAAAUAACCAGCUGAGACCGGAGCCACCGAGGUCAGGGCCCUUGGGGAAUUCAACUUUACAGCCAAUCCCUUGGGACAUAGCAAGGGCUGCAAAAAGACACCAGUCAUGAGACAGAGACUGAGCGAGAAUCCUAGCUGUGACAUGUAUCCAUUAAAUGACAGUGGAGAAGCUACUAGAUAUCCCCUUCCAGACCUGUUUUCACAGCUAUAAAAUGGAGUUCAGGGGCUGAGCGUGGUGGUGCAUGCCUGUAACCACAGCUACUCAAGAGGCAGAGAUCUGCAGGGUCAAGGCUUCAGCCUAGCUCGAGCAAAAAGAAAAAAAAAUUAGGAAGACCUCAUCUCAGUUAACAAACUGGGCAUGGUGGUGUGUGCCUGUAAUCAACAAAGCAUCCAACUUUGGCUCCUUCUGGACCCAGUGUGGUAAAAGAGUCCCCUUUUGAAGUGUCUUCAAUUAGACACUUAGGAGAGAUGUAGGAGAUAGCCUGCGGUGACCCUACCUUGGUU